This is a non-coding RNA of Corylus avellana, 173 nucleotides long. The record is from RefSeq and is a predicted model, not a curated record. Lineage: Eukaryota; Viridiplantae; Streptophyta; Magnoliopsida; Fagales; Betulaceae.
UCACCAGUAGCAUACAGAGAGAGAACCAGAGAAAAGAUAUAGCGCCAUCGUCAUGGGAACCGUUAUCGACUCCCAUUUCUUAGGCCUAACUGCCAUUGUCACUGUGGGUUAUCAGUUUUUGUUCUUUAUAGUCACAGCCCUUCUCAAAUUCGAUAAAGUCACUGACUUUGCCG